UAUUACUGAUCACAUUUUUCUUUUUUAUGGCAGAGAGGUGAAAGGACUGUGUGAGAGAUAGAGACAGAGGCAGAUUGCAUGGUUUAUGUACAAAAACAAGAACAACCUCUCUCUCUCUAUCAGUCUUCUUCUCUAUUGAUAGAUUCACUUCAUACCAAUUUCUCUCUGCAUUGCGCGCCCUCGCACAAAUAAAUAAAUAAAAAAAAAGCUCAACCACAUGUCAUGUUUCUCUCACUAACUGGUACACCAUGCACAGUGGUGAUCAUCAAACAAGCUUCCACGAAAUGGGUGCAUGAUAUUUUCUGGAAUGUAUUAGAGGGAAGUGGCGCGUGUUGAUCACGCUCCGAGGGUACUUGGUGACUAUUUUGGGUUAGUUUCUGUAGGGUUUGGAGAACAUAACUCAGGGUUCGAUGCAGGGAGCGUAUCUAGUAUAGGUUGGCAUGACAUGGCAUGCAAUUGUACUGAUCAAAGAUCUGAUUAGAGGUUUUGCAUGCAUGCCAUUGCCAUAGAUUCAUGUAUUAUUAAUAUUAUAUUAUAUAUAUAUAUAUAUAUAUACACACACACAUAGAGAGAGGAGAGAGAGAUAUUAUGCAAG
This 595-nucleotide long non-coding RNA is filed under the name Ricinus communis (castor bean). RNAcentral's name for it is "long non-coding RNA (RCOM_LNC000549)". The record is from RNAcentral. Lineage: Eukaryota; Viridiplantae; Streptophyta; Magnoliopsida; Malpighiales; Euphorbiaceae.